GUUGGUGGUUAUAGCGAGGGGGACACACCUCUUCCCAUUCCGAACAGAGUCGUUAAGCCCCUCAGCGCCGAUGGUACUGCGUCACCAUGCGUGGGAGAGUAGGUCGCCGCCAGCC
RNAcentral lists this ribosomal RNA (115 nucleotides) under Saprospiraceae bacterium. Lineage: Bacteria; Pseudomonadati; Bacteroidota; Saprospiria; Saprospirales; Saprospiraceae. The record is from RNAcentral.